This 911-nucleotide ribosomal RNA is filed under the name Acinetobacter seifertii. RNAcentral describes it as "bacterial SSU rRNA". It matches the Rfam family "Bacterial small subunit ribosomal RNA", at positions 33 to 938 of the family's 1533-position model. Lineage: Bacteria; Pseudomonadati; Pseudomonadota; Gammaproteobacteria; Moraxellales; Moraxellaceae. The record is from RNAcentral.
ACGCUGGCGGCAGGCUUAACACAUGCAAGUCGAGCGGGGAGAGGUAGCUUGCUACCUAACCUAGCGGCGGACGGGUGAGUAAUGCUUAGGAAUCUGCCUAUUAGUGGGGGACAACAUCUCGAAAGGGAUGCUAAUACCGCAUACGUCCUACGGGAGAAAGCAGGGGAUCUUCGGACCUUGCGCUAAUAGAUGAGCCUAAGUCGGAUUAGCUAGUUGGUGGGGUAAAGGCCUACCAAGGCGACGAUCUGUAGCGGGUCUGAGAGGAUGAUCCGCCACACUGGGACUGAGACACGGCCCAGACUCCUACGGGAGGCAGCAGUGGGGAAUAUUGGACAAUGGGGGGAACCCUGAUCCAGCCAUGCCGCGUGUGUGAAGAAGGCCUUAUGGUUGUAAAGCACUUUAAGCGAGGAGGAGGCUACUUUAGUUAAUACCUAGAGAUAGUGGACGUUACUCGCAGAAUAAGCACCGGCUAACUCUGUGCCAGCAGCCGCGGUAAUACAGAGGGUGCAAGCGUUAAUCGGAUUUACUGGGCGUAAAGCGCGCGUAGGCGGCUAAUUAAGUCAAAUGUGAAAUCCCCGAGCUUAACUUGGGAAUUGCAUUCGAUACUGGUUAGCUAGAGUGUGGGAGAGGAUGGUAGAAUUCCAGGUGUAGCGGUGAAAUGCGUAGAGAUCUGGAGGAAUACCGAUGGCGAAGGCAGCCAUCUGGCCUAACACUGACGCUGAGGUGCGAAAGCAUGGGGAGCAAACAGGAUUAGAUACCCUGGUAGUCCAUGCCGUAAACGAUGUCUACUAGCCGUUGGGGCCUUUGAGGCUUUAGUGGCGCAGCUAACGCGAUAAGUAGACCGCCUGGGGAGUACGGUCGCAAGACUAAAACUCAAAUGAAUUGACGGGGGCCCGCACAAGCGGUGGAGC